AGCAGCCGCGGUAAUUCCAGCUCCAAUAGCGUAUAUUAAAGUUGUUGCAGUUAAAAAGCUCGUAGUUGAAUUUCGGGGUUCUACCGUUGGUCGGGCAAUUGUCUGUACUGGCGUGUGGAAUUUCUACCUUCUGGGGAACCAUCAUGUUAUUAAUUUAGCGUGGUGGGAAACCAGGACCUUUACCUUGAAAAAAUUAGAGUGUUCAAAGCAGGCUUACGUCUGAAUACAUUAGCAUGGAAUAAUAAAAUAGGACGGUGGUCCUGUUUUGUUGGUUUCUGAAUCACCGUAAUGAUUAAUAGGGAUAGUUGGGGGCAUUAGUAUUCAAUUGUCAGAGGUGAAAUUCUUGGAUUUAUUGAAGACUAACUUCUGCGAAAGCAUUUGCCAAGGAUGUUUUCAUUAAUCAAGAACGAAAGUUAGGGGAUCGAAGACGAUCAGAUACCGUCGUAGUCU
RNAcentral lists this ribosomal RNA (450 nucleotides) under uncultured Gigaspora. RNAcentral describes it as "SSU rRNA". It matches the Rfam family "Eukaryotic small subunit ribosomal RNA", at positions 569 to 1026 of the family's 1831-position model. RNAcentral also lists the same sequence under 1 other name. Lineage: Eukaryota; Fungi; Glomeromycota; Glomeromycetes; Diversisporales; Gigasporaceae. The record is from RNAcentral.